RNAcentral lists this ribosomal RNA (253 nucleotides) under uncultured bacterium. RNAcentral's name for it is "partial 16S ribosomal RNA". It matches the Rfam family "Bacterial small subunit ribosomal RNA", at positions 524 to 776 of the family's 1533-position model. The record is from RNAcentral.
UACGGAGGGUGCGAGCGUUGUUCGGAAUCACUGGGCGUAAAGGGCGUGUAGGCGGUCUGUUAAGUCUGAUGUGAAAGCCCUGGGCUCAACCUGGGAAUGGCAUUGGAUACUGGCGGGCUAGAGUGCGGUAGAGGAUGGCGGAAUUCCCGGUGUAGCAGUGAAAUGCGUAGAGAUCGGGAGGAACAUCCGUGGCGAAGGCGGCCAUCUGGACCAGCACUGACACUGAGGCACGAAAGCGUGGGGAGCAAACAGG